UUCUAUGCUGGCUCCGCAAGUGGCUGUGAAAUUAUUCUUCGGUAAGUUUGCUUGUUACAUAGUUGAUGAUGCCGCAUUUUCGCUUCUCUAUUCUACGGAGGAUAUGGAAUUUUUUGUAGAGAAAUCAACCAAAUAUCACCCAAAAUUGAUUCUACCACUGGAUCCCCUCUCUACUGAUCAUGGGCAAUUAUAUAUCAGCACAGGGCAUUGGAUAUCAACGAAAGAGAGUUGAAGAUCUAUGGGGAGCCAAUGAGUGCAACCGAACAGACCAUAUACAGGUCCAUUUCGCCCUUUCUAAAUUUCAAUCGUACAAAACACCAUAUUAACAUGUAACACCUUGUCUGGAAUAACAUUAAUGAAACAUGCAUGUGAUGUUUCAACAAUAUUAAUGGAAACUCAUUGCCCUUACCACUAAAAACAUACUCACUAUAUCAAUUAAUAAUUUUAUGAAUUUAUCCUUAUUAUACCAGUUAUUAGAGAGAUUAGUAGUACUUAUAAAUGAUUUGAAAGAAAAAAAGAGAUUGAAUAACCCUCUGAUUGUGGAUAGAAAGUAGCCGAAGAGAAGAGAGUAAAGAGGAGAGGGUAGAUAGUUAGCAUACCAUUAUCAAGGCAUGAAAAACAUCAGUUGUUUUUUUCAGACAAGACAAUGUGAUUGUUUUCUUGGAAUACUGGAUUGAAAAUAAAAGAUUCAAGUUUAAACGAUCUUUUUCACACAACACAAUGUGAUUGUUUUAUUAGAUUGAAAAUGAAAGAUUCAAGUUUAAACGAUCGUUUUCACACAAGACAAUGUGAUUGUUUUAUUAGAUUGAAAAUGAAAGAUUCAAGUUUAAACGAUCGUUUUCACACAAGACAAUGUGAUUGUUUUUAUUGGAUUGAAAAUGAAAGGUGCAGGAAUAAGCUAUCCAGGUCCAGCACACUUGCAACUCUAUCUCUAUUAGUGGGGCUGUCUCUAUGCACAAAGAGAGAGUUCACUUGGUCAGUUUACAAAUCUUGCUUAUGAAUUUGAUAUGGUGAAUCUAGUUUGUUUGUGACUUCUUUGUCCUAAUUUUGGGUAUAUUAGAGUUUUCUCAUAAUUUUCUGAAAUAGACUACAAGAUUAAUCACCAAUAUUUUUGAGACGGCAGAAAAGAUCAGGUUUAUUCCAUAAAAUUUUCUUUCUUGGUCCUA
Molecule: long non-coding RNA, 1166 nt
Organism: Salvia splendens (bonfire salvia)
Lineage: Eukaryota; Viridiplantae; Streptophyta; Magnoliopsida; Lamiales; Lamiaceae
Exons: 2
Source: RefSeq, a predicted model, not a curated record